This 1438-nucleotide long non-coding RNA is filed under the name Piliocolobus tephrosceles (Ugandan red Colobus). Its description in RNAcentral is "lncRNA (ENSPTEG00000011014.1)". The record is from RNAcentral. Lineage: Eukaryota; Metazoa; Chordata; Mammalia; Primates; Cercopithecidae.
GAGGAGACUGCAAGCGUCGGGAUGCCCAGGCCCCACGGAGGCCCCCUACCUGCAGAACCAAGAAGAACUGGACACCUUUCUGGGACUGCAGCACCAGGGUGGCUACCCUUCCCGGCUGGGUCAGGAUUUCUGAAACUGGUAAGAGAAAAGGCUGAGAGGAGCUGGCUGGACCCUUCCGGGUUUGUUUAUGUCUCCUUGGGAGAGGGUGGGGGUGGGGUUGCAGGCAGCAGCUGCCCCCCUCCCAACCCAGCCGGCCUGCCCUGUGCCAGGAGGGCAGGGAGUCCUGGCACAGCUAUUGUUCACUUGCACAAAUGCCUGUCUGUUUGCAUCGCUACCCCCCUCGCUGUCUUUCUGCUUGUCUCUCUCUCCUGGCCUGACAGGUGUGGCCGGGUAGGGGGCAGGCUGGGGUCCAGGAUGCUUGGGUCUCAGGGUUCGUAACCUGAUUUAUUCCCUGUGGCCCUUAGCACCCCUCUUCUGUUUCACCCAUACCCACCCCCGUUGCCAGUGUCUCAUCUUCAUUCACUAAGCAAGCAUUUAUUAAGUGCCUUUGUGUGUGCAGUGAUGUCUUUCUGUGUUGUUUCUGGCUUUGGCAUUAGUGUUUCCAUUUGGCUGCCUUCCCCUCAGCCUCCUGUCUUCAUCUUGUCCCGGGAAGCUCAUAAAGGAGCAGGGCCUGGCUGAGACCACCCCAAGCCCUCUUCUCAGUCCCACUGCCAGCAAUCCCUCACCUCUUCAUUUCCCGGCCCUGUAGCUCCUCCUCCAGGACUCAGUGCCCUUCAUAGCCAACGGCACCUCUGCUGUCCAGGGGCUGAGCCACAGGUGACUCGAAUCCCAGUGGAACACUCCACGGGCUCUCUGGUCACUAUUACAAAGGGUGUGGACAGAGGUGUAACCACCUUGGGGAAGGGGCUGCUGCCAGGUGCAGCUGGAGGAGAGGUCAUUCUGAGUACUCUGUGACUCUCCCAGAAGUCUUGAUUUGGGCAUAACUGAGAGAGAAGCAAAGGCAGAUGAGAGAGCUGGGCACGGUGACUCGCACCCGUAAUCCUAGCAUUUUGGAAGACCAAGGCAGCCGGAUCACAUGAGCUCAGGAGUUUGAGACAAGCCUGGGCAACAUAGCGAGCCCUCAUCUCUACAAAACUACUAAGUUUUAAAAAUCUAUUAUUAAAAAAAGAAAAAGAUGAGAGCUUAGGGCUUGCUUGGAGAAGCUCUACCUUGCCUGGGUAGAUCUGCCUGGCCUUGCUGCCCGCUGGGAGCACAGGAAGCCAAAGUCCUAGCCUUGGCAUUGCCUUCCCCUUCAUGUACGUCACUGUUUCCUCAUCCCUUAGCCUGGGAGACAAAGUGGAGAGAAGAAGGGAGACUGUGUCUGCCUUUGAGCUUUUCAGUAGAGAUCCACAAUGCCCUCUGCCAUUGCUCCCAUCUUUCUUUCUUUCUUUCUUUUUUU